RNAcentral lists this ribosomal RNA (497 nucleotides) under uncultured bacterium. RNAcentral describes it as "partial 16S ribosomal RNA". It matches the Rfam family "Bacterial small subunit ribosomal RNA", at positions 28 to 507 of the family's 1533-position model. The record is from RNAcentral.
GAUGAACGCUGGCGGCGUGCCUAAUACAUGCAAGUCGAGCGAACAGACGAGGAGCUUGCUCCUCUGACGUUAGCGGCGGACGGGUGAGUAACACGUGGAUAACCUACCUAUAAGACUGGGAUAACUUCGGGAAACCGGAGCUAAUACCGGAUAAUAUAUUGAACCGCAUGGUUCAAUAGUGAAAGACGGUUUUGCUGUCACUUAUAGAUGGAUCCGCGCCGCAUUAGCUAGUUGGUAAGGUAACGGCUUACCAAGGCGACGAUGCGUAGCCGACCUGAGAGGGGGAUCGGCCACACUGGAACUGAGACACGGUCCAGACUCCUACGGGAGGCAGCAGUAGGGAAUAUUCCGCAAUGGGCGAAAGCCUGACGGAGCAACGCCGCGUGAGUGAUGAAGGUUUUCGGAUCGUAAAACUCUGUUAUUAGGGAAGAACAAAUGUGUAAGUAACUAUGCACGUCUUGACGGUACCUAAUCAGAAAGCCACGGCUAACUACGUG